GCGUCUGGGGCUGGCUAGGUAAUGGUACUCCCCUGUCACGGGAGAGAAUGCGGGAUCGUAACCCGUCGGACGCGCCA
Molecule: transfer RNA, 77 nt
Filed under: Klebsiella pneumoniae
Lineage: Bacteria; Pseudomonadati; Pseudomonadota; Gammaproteobacteria; Enterobacterales; Enterobacteriaceae
Also listed under: 2 other names
Description: tRNA-Asp
Source: RNAcentral